GUUUCUGUAGUGUAGUGGUUAUCAUGUUUGCUUUACACGCAAAAUGGCCCUUGUUCGAAACUUGGUGGAAACA
This 73-nucleotide transfer RNA is filed under the name Danio rerio (zebrafish). It matches the Rfam family "tRNA". Rfam says of the family: Transfer RNA (tRNA) molecules are approximately 80 nucleotides in length. Their secondary structure includes four short double-helical elements and three loops (D, anti-codon, and T loops). Further hydrogen bonds mediate the characteristic L-shaped molecular structure. tRNAs have two regions of fundamental functional importance: the anti-codon, which is responsible for specific mRNA codon recognition, and the 3' end, to which the tRNAs corresponding amino acid is attached (by aminoacyl-tRNA synthetases). tRNAs cope with the degeneracy of the genetic code in two manners: having more than one tRNA (with a specific anti-codon) for a particular amino acid; and 'wobble' base-pairing, i.e. permitting non-standard base-pairing at the 3rd anti-codon position. Lineage: Eukaryota; Metazoa; Chordata; Actinopteri; Cypriniformes; Danionidae. The record is from Rfam by way of RNAcentral.